GAGCCAGCGGCUCUUGGGAGGCUGCGUCCGCGCGCCGGCGAGGCGAGGCGGCCGGGCCCUGCGCGUCAGGCCUGAGACCUGGGAGGAAGCUGGAGAAAAGAUGCCCUCUGAAUCUUUCUGUUUGGCUGCCCAGGCUCGCCUCGACUCCAAAUGGUUGAAAACAGAUAUACAGCUUGCAUUCACAAGAGAUGGGCUCUGUGGUCUGUGGAAUGAAAUGGUUAAAGAUGGAGAAAUUGUAUACACUGGAACAGAAUCAACCCAGAACGGAUAGCUCCCUCCUGGAAAAGCUUUUGUGUGGUCCUCUGAGCCCCAGUGAGAGUUUCCUGAGGUACCUCACCCUUCCACAAGACAACAGGCUUGCCAUUGAUCUGCAACAAACGGCGGUUGUUGUCAUGGCCCAUUUAGACCGUCUGGCUACACCCUGUAGAUGCCUCCUCUGUGUAGCUCUCCGACGUCUCAUAAGAGUCAUUUUUUACAGGUCAGAACUGUAGAAAUAAUGAGAAAGUGACACUUGUACGCAUAGCUGAUUUGGAGAACCAUAAUAACGAUGGAGGCUUCUGGACUGUGAUUGACGGGAAAGUGUAUGAUAUAAAGGACUUCCAGACACAGUCGUUAACAGAAAAUAGUAUUCUUGCUCAGUUUGCAGGGGAAGACCCAGUGGUAGCUUUGGAAGCUGCUUUGCAGUUUGAAGACACCCGGGAAUCCAUGCACGCAUUUUGUGUUGGCCAGUAUUUGGAGCCUGACCAAGAAAUCGUCACCAUACCAGAUCUGGGGAGUCUCUCUUCACCUCUGAUAGACACAGAGAGGAAUCUGGGCCUGCUUCUCGGAUUACACGCUUCCUAUUUGGCAAUGAGCACACCGCUGUCUCCUGUCGAGAUUGAAUGUGCCAGUAAGAAAAUCUUUGCUUUUUGCUGAUCAGCAGAUUAUUUUUUUUUGAACUGUAAGUGCCAUUAAGAGUGGGAGAGGGCCAGGCACAGUGGUUCAUGCCUGUAAUCCCAGCAGUUUGGGAGGUUGUGGCACGUGGAUUGCUUGAGGUCAAGAGUUUGAGACCAGCCUGGGCAACAUGGCAAAACCCCAUCUCUACAAAAAACACAAAAAUUAGCCAGGCAUGUUGGCACGUAUUUGUAGUCCCAGAUACUCAGGAGGCUGAGGUAGGAGGAUUGCUUGAGCCUGGGAGGUUGAGGCUGCAGUGAGUCAUGAUCAUACCACUGCACUCCAGCCUGGGUGACAGAGCAAGACUCUCUCUUUAAAAAAGCAGGAGAUGGCCAGGCAGUGGCUCAUGCCUGUAAUCCCAGCACUUUGGGAGGCUGAGGCGGGUGGAUCACCUGAGGUCAGGAGUUCAAGACCAGCCUGGCCAAUGUGGUGAAACCCCAUGUCUACUAAAAAUGCAAAAAUUAGCUGGGUGUGGUGACGGGUGCCUGUAAUCCCAGUUACUCGGGAGGCUGAGGUAGGAGAAUUGCUUGAACCCAGGAGACGGAGGUUGCAGUGAGCUGAGAUCAUGCCACUGCACUCCAGCCUGGGUGACAAGAGCGAGACUCGGUCUCAAAAAAAAAAAAGGAGAGGAGGAUUCAACACAGUUGAUGAUGAUAAAAA
Molecule: long non-coding RNA, 1593 nt
Organism: Homo sapiens (human)
Lineage: Eukaryota; Metazoa; Chordata; Mammalia; Primates; Hominidae
Source: Ensembl